CCUACGUGGGGCAGCAGUGAGGAAUAUUGGUCAAUGGACGCAAGCCUGAACCAGCCAAGUAGCGUGAAGGAUGACUGCCCUACGGGUUGUAAACUUCUUUUAUAAGGGAGUAAAGUGAGGCACGUGUGCCUUUUUGUAUGUACUUUAUGAAUAAGGAUCGGCUAACUCCGUGCCAGCAGCCGCGGUAAUACGGAGGAUUCGAGCGUUAUCCGGAUUUAUUGGGUUUAAAGGGUGCGUAGAUGGGUUGUUAAGUUAGUGGUGAAAGUUUGCGGCUCAACUUCAAAAUUGCCACUGAUACUGGUCGUCUUGAGAACAGUUGAGGUAGGCGGAAUUUAUGGUGUAGCGGUGAAAUGCGUAGAGAUCAGACGGAACACCGGUGGCGAAGGCAGCUUGC
RNAcentral lists this ribosomal RNA (394 nucleotides) under uncultured bacterium. Its description in RNAcentral is "partial 16S ribosomal RNA". It matches the Rfam family "Bacterial small subunit ribosomal RNA", at positions 338 to 729 of the family's 1533-position model. The record is from RNAcentral.